Molecule: long non-coding RNA, 591 nt
Organism: Nyctereutes procyonoides (raccoon dog)
Lineage: Eukaryota; Metazoa; Chordata; Mammalia; Carnivora; Canidae
Exons: 3
Source: RefSeq, a predicted model, not a curated record
CCCAAAUGGUAGAUGAAAUCCAAGUGGCUCACCUCUUACCAUUGCAUGUGACAGAGUGACUUUGCCAGGUAACCCAACUAUUAAAAAUGGCCCAAAGACUUGGAAAUGAAGGAGUUCGCUUUUUGGGAGCCAGGCCAUUUGAAGACCAACAAAGUCCAGUGUGGACAAGAAAGGAAGAUUAGAACCUGUUGCUGUGUUUGUGGUUUUGCUGAUCUGCCCCAUUUUGGGAAAGGAUAUUUAUUACUGAAAAAGACAACUGAGAAUAUUUUUCGAAAGGAACCUAUGAAGACAUGGGCACAGAUGGGCUCGGUGACCUCACCAACGUGUUGUAUCUGCAAUAGUCAGCAGGUUUGGAUUGCUGCGUGCAUGUGCAUCUAGCAGAUAACUCCUCAGUCCUCUGUCUCCUGGGCUGGGAGCCUUGUCGUGAAGUGGAAUGAAGUGGAAAAGUGGAACUGGCCAUUCGAAUCCAUUCUGGCGUUGCUGGGCUCUUCACUGUGAAGUCCUCAGCUAUGUCCCUUUCUCUGCGUGCUGCGGCCACAGCAUCAGUGAUGGCGAAGAACACAGAUGACCCCAAGAACAUCCCAGAUUCCC